UACGAAGGGGGCUAGCGUUGCUCGGAUUCAUUGGGCGUAAAGCGCGCGUAGGCGGUUACUUAAGUCGAAUGUGAAAGCCCUCGGCUUAACUGAGGAAGUGCAUCCGAAACUGAGUAGCUAGAGUACGAAAGAGGGUCGCGGAAUUCCCGGUGUAGAGGUGAAAUUCGUAGAUAUCGGGAGGAACACCGGUGGCGAAGGCGGCGACCUGGGUCGAGACUGACGCUGAGGCGCGAAAGCCAGGGGAGCGAACGGG
This 253-nucleotide ribosomal RNA is filed under the name uncultured bacterium. RNAcentral describes it as "partial 16S ribosomal RNA". It matches the Rfam family "Bacterial small subunit ribosomal RNA", at positions 524 to 776 of the family's 1533-position model. The record is from RNAcentral.